GGUAAAAUGGCUGAAUUAGGCAAUAAAUUGUAAAUUUAUUUAUGAAAAUUAAUAAUUUUCUUUUAUCA
RNAcentral lists this transfer RNA (68 nucleotides) under Platisus vespertinus. Its description in RNAcentral is "tRNA-Tyr". It matches the Rfam family "tRNA". From Rfam's summary of the family: Transfer RNA (tRNA) molecules are approximately 80 nucleotides in length. Their secondary structure includes four short double-helical elements and three loops (D, anti-codon, and T loops). Further hydrogen bonds mediate the characteristic L-shaped molecular structure. tRNAs have two regions of fundamental functional importance: the anti-codon, which is responsible for specific mRNA codon recognition, and the 3' end, to which the tRNAs corresponding amino acid is attached (by aminoacyl-tRNA synthetases). tRNAs cope with the degeneracy of the genetic code in two manners: having more than one tRNA (with a specific anti-codon) for a particular amino acid; and 'wobble' base-pairing, i.e. permitting non-standard base-pairing at the 3rd anti-codon position. Lineage: Eukaryota; Metazoa; Arthropoda; Insecta; Coleoptera; Cucujidae. The record is from RNAcentral.